CCCUUAGAUGUUCUGGGCUGCACGCGCGCUACACUGAUGCGAUCAACAAGUUUUUCCUAUGUCGAUAGACACGGGUAAUCUUUUGAACUCGCAUCGUGAUGGGGAUAGAUUAUUGUAAUUAUUAAUCUUCAACGAGGAAUUCCUAGUAGGUGCAAAUCAUCAGUUUGCAUCGAUUACGUCCCUGCCCUUUGUACACACCGCCCGUCGCUGCUACCGAUUGGUUGAUCUGGUGGGUUAUUCGGACUGCCGGCUGAAGGGGUUUCCUCAUCUGCCAGCGGAAAGUCUUGUUAACCCUAUCAACUAGAGGAAGCAGAAGUCGUAACA
Molecule: ribosomal RNA, 324 nt
Filed under: uncultured eukaryote
Lineage: Eukaryota
Description: partial 18S ribosomal RNA
Rfam family: Eukaryotic small subunit ribosomal RNA
Source: RNAcentral